AUGGCGAAACUAACGGUGCACUACGGGCGGAAGCACGCCGGAAUUCCACGGGUCGCGGUCGGCUCCGCCGGUCGCACUUUCCUGCGGCCCGUCUCGCCCUGCCGUACGUACCCCUACAGGGAUAAGUACUGGUAUGGCACACUGUUCAAUCCACGACCAAUCCCUGACGAACUAGCCACCCCAGCCCAGCAUAGAGGACUAGAGGGUACUGUGGCAAAGUCACGGCGUUGUUCGUCUGCGCGGAUGCGCUCACACGUGUUCUGCGUGUUACCGCUACAAGUAGUAGUACAGCACAGGCCUCUUGUCUCUGCCACCCUUGGCCUCGUCGGAGGGACGAUGAUGACGUAUGUGGCCGACACACCUCUCCCUUGUUGUUGUUCCCCCGAUGCACCGGACGCACAUUUUCUUCCAGAAAAUGAAAGCGGAUGCCCAAUAUGCCAUGGAGGGGCUGAAGAUAUUAAACAUCUUCUUUUCGGCUGCGUCCAUGCGAAGGAGUUAUGGAGAAACUUGGGAAUAUUGGACACGGUUGAACAAGCUAUGGAAGGGCAGCGAUCAAGAUCGAUGGCCCUAGAAAAUUUGUUGUUGAUGGACGAUCGCUCGCUUGCUCUUAAGCCAGGCUUAGAUGUUAAACAAGUCAUUGAUGUGGGGGGAUGGUAUCUGUGGUGGAUCCGCCGUGAGAUAACACACAACGGGUCACCUCCAUUAAUCUCCAAAUGGGCUAUGUCGGUUAUGGCAAUUGCUAACAAUUUUCAUGAAGCAAAUCAAAAAUCCCAAGAUCCCCAGAUACAGAGAUGGACGAAACCGGAACCGAAGUUUGUCAAGGUGAAUGUUGAUGCAACAUUCUUUGAGAAUGAGAGGGCAGGGGCAACAGCUGCAGUAAUCACAGAUGACAAGGGGAAGUUCUUGGCAGCCCAAUGCACCUUUUUACCGCAUACUAUGGACGUGGUAUCCUCUGAAGCUCAAGCGAUGAGGGAUGGACUUGUAUUGGCAAAUUUCCUGGGCUUCCCUAGAGUUGAAGCUGAAUCAGACUCUACAACGCUGAUUGAACAAUGCUCAGGUCAAAACAGAUGGUGGGAUGUUGCGCCAGUCUUUUUCGCCGAGUGUGUGGAUGUGGCAUCGAUGAUUGGCAAGAACGCCUCUGAAAGUGGAGAGGUCCUUCCAACUUCUAUCUUGCUGUAUCGUCGUGAUGGUUCCACCUUCUCACGUACGCAAGCCCUCCCCGUCCCUAACUCGGCCCACGGCCGAGAUCCAUCGCCUCCUUCGAUCCAUCCCCUGUCCGUCCCUCUCGCACUUCCUCUGUCAAAAAUUGAAAAAAAAAACAGCCGCGUCCCACGCCCCGUCUUCGCCCAACUGCCUCGAUCCCCUAGGACACACGGACAACGCUACAUCUACGGACGUUUUGCACGGGAACCUCGGGCCGGGCCGGGCUUCGGGCCGGGCCUAGCCAAGCCCGACGCAAAAAACCCAGGCCCGAGCCCGGCCCAGCCCGGCCGUCGGGCCUGUUUUCUGGGCCCGAGCCCGGCCCGAACACAUAAAAGACCGUCGGGCUUCGGGCCAGCCCGGCCCGUCCUUCAGGAAAACGCGAAAAUGCUGGGCCUAGGCCCGGCCCGGCCCGGCCUUCGGGCUCAAAAUCUAGGCCCGAGCCCGGCCCGGGAACGGCGUCAGGCCGGGCCGGGUCGGGACACACCCACGAUCUCCCCCUCCCGUCUCCCCAUCCAGUCACGCAGGGAAGCCCUGCCCUUGUCCCAUCCGCCCCGUCCCCCAUCCAUCUCUUCCCCAUUCCCUCUUAUCCUCUUGAACCUCCUACAUGGCCCUCAUGGCCUCAUGGGCGCCGCCUCUGACCACCGCAUCCCCGCCUUAGUGGACGCCUCCUCCCCGUCGCCGAAGCAGGAGAAGCCCACAAACUCGCACGGCUACGGCGGCCCUAGAGGACCACACCGCCACUAUGGCUCCUCCCGCGUUGAGAUCGGAUGGGCAGACGCUUGCCUGCACUGCCGCUGA
This 2001-nucleotide ribosomal RNA is filed under the name Triticum aestivum (bread wheat). RNAcentral's name for it is "partial small subunit ribosomal RNA". The record is from RNAcentral. Lineage: Eukaryota; Viridiplantae; Streptophyta; Magnoliopsida; Poales; Poaceae.